AGGUAAGCUACUAAGAGCGAAUGGUGGAUGCCUUGACUGGUAAAGGCGAUGAAGGACGUACUAGACUGCGAUAAGCUACGGGGAGCUGUCAAGAAGCUUUGAUCCGUAGAUUUCCGAAUGGGGCAACCCAAUGUAUAGAGAUAUACAUUACCUAUAUAGGAGCGAACGAGGGGAAUUGAAACAUCUUAGUACCCUCAGGAAAAGAAAUCAAUAGAGAUUGCGUCAGUAGCGGCGAGCGAAAGCGCAAGAGGGCAAACCCAGUGCUUGCACUGGGGGUUGUAGGACUGCAAUGUGCAAGAGCUGAGUUUAGCAGAACAUUCUGGAAAGUAUAGCCAUAGAGGGUGAUAGUCCCGUAUGCGAAAAACAAAGCUUAGCUAGCAGUAUCCUGAGUAGGGCGGGACACGAGGAAUCCUGUCUGAAUCCGGGUCGACCACGAUCCAACCCUAAAUACUAAUACCAGAUCGAUAGUGCACAAGUACCGUGAGGGAAAGGUGAAAAGAACUGAGGUGAUCAGAGUGAAAUAGAACCUGAAACCAUUUGCUUACAAUCAUUCAGAGCACUAUGUAGCAAUACAGUGUGAUGGACUGCCUUUUGCAUAAUGAGCCUGCGAGUUGUGGUGUCUGGCAAGGUUAAGCAAACGCGAAGCCGUAGCGAAAGCGAGUCUGAAUAGGGCGCUUAGUCAGAUGCUGCAGACCCGAAACGAAGUGAUCUAUCCAUGAGCAAGUUGAAGCUAGUGUAAGAACUAGUGGAGGACUGAACCCAUAGGCGUUGAAAAGCCCCGGGAUGACUUGUGGAUAGGGGUGAAAGGCCAAUCAAACUUCGUGAUAGCUGGUUCUCUCCGAAAUAUAUUUAGGUAUAGCGUUGUGUCGUAAUAUAAGGGGGUAGAGCACUGAAUGGGCUAGGGCAUACACCAAUGUACCAAACCCUAUCAAACUCCGAAUACCUUAUAUGUAAUCACAGCAGUCAGGCGGCGAGUGAUAAAAUCCGUCGUCAAGAGGGAAACAACCCAGACUACCAGCUAAGGUCCCUAAGUCUUACUUAAGUGGAAAACGAUGUGAAGUUACUUAAACAACCAGGAGGUUGGCUUAGAAGCAGCCAUCCUUUAAAGAAAGCGUAAUAGCUCACUGGUCUAGUGAUUUUGCGCGGAAAAUAUAACGGGGCUAAAGUAAGUACCGAAGCUGUAGACUUAGUUUACUAAGUGGUAGGAGAGCGUUCUAUUUGCGUCGAAGGUAUACCGGUAAGGAGUGCUGGAGCGAAUAGAAGUGAGCAUGCAGGCAUGAGUAGCGAUAAUUAAUGUGAGAAUCAUUAACGCCGUAAACCCAAGGUUUCCUACGCGAUGCUCGUCAUCGUAGGGUUAGUCGGGUCCUAAGUCGAGUCCGAAAGGGGUAGACGAUGGCAAAUUGGUUAAUAUUCCAAUACCAACAUUAGUGUGCGAUGGAAGGACGCUUAGGGCUAAGGGGGCUAGCGGAUGGAAGUGCUAGUCUAAGGUCGUAGGAGGUUAUACAGGCAAAUCCGUAUAACAAUACUCCGAGAACUGAAAGGCUUUUUGAAGUCUUCGGAUGGAUAGAAGAACCCCUGAUGCCGUCGAGCCAAGAAAAGUUUCUAAGUUUAGCUAAUGUUGCCCGUACCGUAAACCGACACAGGUGGGUGGGAUGAGUAUUCUAAGGCGCGUGGAAGAACUCUCUUUAAGGAACUCUGCAAAAUAGCACCGUAUCUUCGGUAUAAGGUGUGGUUAGCUUUGUAUUAGGAUUUACUCCGAAAGCAAGGAAACUUACAACAAAGAGUCCCUCCCGACUGUUUACCAAAAACACAGCACUCUGCUAACUCGUAAGAGGAUGUAUAGGGUGUGACGCCUGCCCGGUGCUCGAAGGUUAAUUGAUGGGGUUAGCAUUAGCGAAGCUCUUGAUCGAAGCCCGAGUAAACGGCGGCCGUAACUAUAACGGUCCUAAGGUAGCGAAAUUCCUUGUCGGUUAAAUACCGACCUGCAUGAAUGGCGUAACGAGAUGGGAGCUGUCUCAAAGAGGGAUCCAGUGAAAUUGUAGUGGAGGUGAAAAUUCCUCCUACCCGCGGCAAGACGGAAAGACCCCGUGGACCUUUACUACAGCUUGACACUGCUACUUGGAUAAGAAUGUGCAGGAUAGGUGGGAGGCUUUGAGUAUAUGACGCCAGUUGUAUAUGAGCCAUUGUUGAGAUACCACUCUUUCUUAUUUGGGUAG
This 2216-nucleotide ribosomal RNA is filed under the name Campylobacter jejuni. Its description in RNAcentral is "partial 23S ribosomal RNA". It matches the Rfam family "Bacterial large subunit ribosomal RNA", at positions 1 to 2221 of the family's 2925-position model. The record is from RNAcentral. Lineage: Bacteria; Pseudomonadati; Campylobacterota; Epsilonproteobacteria; Campylobacterales; Campylobacteraceae.